UAAACAAAAGAUUAAUAUAUAUAGAAUAUAUAAAUUGCUGAUAAUUAAGAUAAUAUUAAUGCAAUGUUAUAAUAAAAUAUUAUUUCACAUAAAUUGUAAAAUACAUGUGAGAAUUGAAAAUAUUUUAACAUAGUUAUAUUCACAUAGGAGAUAUCUAAAGUAAAAUAUUAUGCCAGGUUGCUGCGUUCCAAAUUGUAAAAAUUCUGCAGCAAAAUGGUUUUUAAUGAAGUAUUUCCCAAGUAAUGUAACAUUAAGAGCUCAAUGGGCUGCAAAUAUUCUAUGAGCAAAUUGGAUACCCACGAAUGCUACUUGUAUUUGUGAAGUAUAUUUUGUACCAGAAAUGUGGGAGAAACCACGAGUUGAUGGUAAACGAAUUCUAAAGCACCAUGCCUUACCAAACAUCUUUAAUCCGACCUCUGAAACAGUUGUUGCAUCCAAACAAAAUAAUGAAAUUACGCAAUCAAUGUGUCAAAGUGUUUAAAUGAUUGGCACAUCAGAUCUUACCAGCGAUAAAGUUCCCACUCAAAUUCUUGAAGAACCGAUUGAAUCUCUCAGAAAUGCAGUUAUUCACAAUCAACCGAAUCCAUCUUUAUGUGGCCUCGAGUGUGAAACAUAUUGGAAAAAACAAUAUGAAAAGCUGAGUGAUUUAUUUAAGAAACGUGAAAAGACUUAUGAUUCUGUUUUAAGAAGAUGUAAUAAGUUUAACAAAAUCCUUAAAAAGAAGGUGAAAAGAUUGAAUGUAGAAAAAAUAAGUCAGCCUAAACAAUAUGUAAAAAAUUGCACUCAAUAAUGAAAAAAAUACUCACUGAUGAUCAAAUAAAAUCAUUGGUGAAUAAAUCAAUAUGUGGCUAUAAGUGGUCAGAACAAACAAUAAAAAAAGCAAUUCGACUGAAAAUUGCAGGGUAAAUGGAUAUAAAGAACUGUUGCAACAACAUAUUCCUUUGCCAUCAGUGUGUACGUUACAAAAAAGAUUAGAAACACUCCACUUUGAAGAAGGGAUUUGCAAAGGAAUUAUAGAUAUCUUGAAAGAGAAAAAGUUAAAGGUUUUGAUGAUGAAAGAAAUAAAGAUGCUAUGAUUGCACUAGAUGAAAUGAGUAUUACUAAUGGAAAUCAAUUUGAUCCAUUAACUAAAGCAUUUUGUGGGAACAGUUCAUUACUCAAUAGCAAAGGAAACAUUGAAAGAGCUUUGCAUGCAUUGGUAAUUAUGCUGGAAUUAGCGCAAGAUGGAAACAAGUUGUAGUGUUUUAUUUUACUCUUUGUGGCUAUGAUGGAUCUCAAUUAAAACCUAUUAUUUUGAAAAUUAUUCAAAAGAUAGAAGCAAUUGGCUUAUAUAUUCACAGCAUAACUUCUGACAUGGGGUCUAUCAAUCAAGCUAUGUGGUGUUGAUAUUGGAGUUUCUCGCUAUUCUACAAUAGAGAAUUCUAUCCCUUAUCCAAUUGACAACAAUAGACGAUUAUUUUUUUUGCUGACAGUCCUCACUUGUUAAAAAAUCUGAAAAAUUGUUCAGUUAACAAUAAGGUUUUCAUAAUACCUGAAGACAUUGUACAUGACAAUAAUAUUAAUUUCUCUCAUGUAAAAUUUGAUCAUUUCAAACAACUUCUUGAAAUUCAAAAAAAUAUCAUGUUAAAAUUAACUCGAAAAAUCAAAUUAGAUGAUGUAGCAAAUGGUCAUUUCAGUAAAAUGAAAGUGAAUAAAGCAAAACAGUUUCUUAGUAGAGAAGUUAGUUCAUCCUUAAAGUUUCUAGUUGACUAAAAUGAUAAAACGGAAUAUACAACAACAGCAUAGUUCAUUGAGGUAGUCUCUAAAUGAUUUUUUUUAAUAACCUCACGAAAUCCACAAAUAGUGCUUGGUGAUAAUAGAACUGAGGAAAGUCAUUAUAAAUAUAUUGCAGCAGUAAACUUUUUACAUAAAGUAAUGAAACUUUUCCAAAAUAUUAAAAUUGGUCUCGGGAAAAGACGAAAUAUAAGACGAAAAACUUCCAAAUCUGUUCAAAUGGAAAAUAACAACAAUGAAAAUUUUAUAUAUGAGUUUAAGCUUGUAUAAACUGGAAUACUUUUAACUACAAAAUGAGUAAUCGAAAUAAUAGAUUAUUUAUUGAAGGAAAAGCAUUACUUGUUCGUUUUGACAGGUAGAUUUACACAAGAUUGCGUAAAAAACUUGUUCUCUUUGAUUCAAGCAAGAUAACCAAUCCUUAAUGCUCUUCAGUUUAAACCUUUAAACAAUGUUUAAAAGAAAUAAUCAUAUCCCAAUAUAUGAAAUCUUUAUCAAACAGUAGUUAUGAACAGGAUGAUCGUGAAUUUCUUGAUGGCUUUCUAAAUAUACAGAAAUAAUCGGAUAAAAAAGUCAACUUGCAACAUUACCUCAAUUAAAUAUACCAUUAUUGAACGUGGAUGAUGACAUUAAACUAAAUGUUGUAUAGCUGGAUAUCUUUUAUAUAAUAUUUCAAAAACUAACACUGUAUACGAUCAAUGUUUAAGUUCUGCUGGUUCUACCAAUAUACAAGAUUAUAAAUAUGCAAAAUUAGUCCAACUAAGAUGUUAUAAGGAAAAUAUUUUAUUUUUUGUUAACGAAAUUGUAUUUUAAUAUUUUCGGAAGAUGGGAAACGUCAUGCGUAUUUAUCUUCCGCUUAUUACUAAUAUUUAUUUAGAUGUUAAAAGUUUAUUUUGUUUUAAAAUUAGUAAAAUUACAUGUUCUGCGAUAAAAGAUCGCCAUAAUUUGUUAUCCAAAAUAAUGGAUCGAUUUAUUAUGUUUCGCGUAAAAAUGUGCAAUGUUACCGAAGAAAAUACUAAUACUGAAAAAUAUUAUAAUAGCAAAUCUGUGGCGAUGCAUCUAAAAAUUAAAUAAUAGAUAAUUUACGUUAUAUAUUUAAAAAAUUAUAAGAAAAU
This is a long non-coding RNA of Odontomachus brunneus, 2885 nucleotides long. RefSeq lists it as uncharacterized. Lineage: Eukaryota; Metazoa; Arthropoda; Insecta; Hymenoptera; Formicidae. The record is from RefSeq and is a predicted model, not a curated record. The transcript is spliced from 3 exons.